Molecule: non-coding RNA, 850 nt
Organism: Xyrichtys novacula (pearly razorfish)
Lineage: Eukaryota; Metazoa; Chordata; Actinopteri; Labriformes; Labridae
Source: the annotation of a GenBank genome assembly
GUUACAUUUGAAAGGUGUUUACUUUCUGUGUUUUUCUUCAAUAGAUGUUCGAGCUCCUGCGGUUCAUUGAGGUGGCAACAAACAUUUCUAAAAAAAUAAAGAGAGGCGAGAUUUAUCUGCUUGAUUUCGUUUUUGACGUCAUGCUCCCAGAGGUGAGUAGAUCAAACUAUAUAGCUUGCUUUGAAAAUUGAUGAUAUUGUUAAGAGGUUGUUCUUAUUCAUUUGGAAAGCUCAAGAACAACAAUUAACCCAUACUGCAUAACUUCAAUUGUUCACAUUAUUUGACUGUUUUUCAGCUUUUGAUCAAAGCACUGAAGGAGCAUGACAUCAACCGGUUCAGAGCAGAGCUGAUGAUGGCCUGUGGCAACAUGUUUUAAGCCCCCCACCACACCGACGGCAGUGCUGAAUUUUGUAUAUAUAUAUAUUUUUUUACUGUUCACAAUUUUGUUUGGAAAAAAUUAAAGAAAUCUUCAAAGCAGUUGUAUGACAAUUUCCCAUUUCUUUACACAGUCUGUAAUGAUAUCGCUAUUCAAUUGUUUUUGCUAUAUGGCUCUUCUGAACCUUAAAGAGAUCAUGUGACUUGUCUCUACAACUAUUGUAUACUUGGAUUUUGCACAGUCAAGCAAUCCUGAAGAGGUUCACCAGGAAGCACACCAUUUCAUAAAUUAUGUCCCUGGUUACACAAUGUUACUAAAGGAUGGGGGAGUAAAUUUGUGCAGCAACAUAAGCACUCUCAUAAAACAUAAUUAUGAACAACAGAAAAUAUGUGAGGGUCAGGGCAACAUUGUUGACAUUAAACGAGGUCCUAAUAGGAGUGGAGAAACAAGGUCACAGAGAAGUUAAGAAACAUU